Musa acuminata AAA Group (dessert banana) is the source of this 1191-nucleotide RNA transcript. It is a transcript of the gene named probable phospholipid hydroperoxide glutathione peroxidase, with no coding region annotated. Lineage: Eukaryota; Viridiplantae; Streptophyta; Magnoliopsida; Zingiberales; Musaceae. The transcript has 6 exons. The record is from RefSeq and is a predicted model, not a curated record.
UUCAGUUGAUGAGUCUCCCAUUAAUGGGGGACAUGCUGCUGCAGCUGAUGGAAUUGGGCCGAAGAGGCUUUCACAUGCAUGUCAAUGUGACAAGGAUGAUAUGUGCACGCAAGAAUGAUCCAUUUAUGGCCACCUUCAAAAUUCAUGUGAGAUGUCAUAUGCUUUGUUGUUGUUGUUGCUAUUGUUGAAAAGGUAUGGCAUAAGAAGACUAUUAAUAUGGUUUUGAGUGUCAACAGUUAGUCUUUUCUUUCAUUUUGGUGUUGUUUUGUGAACGAUCAGCGCCAAUCAAAGGCCAAGUUCAAAUGGGGCCCCUCUUUUUGUUGUUUGCAUUACCUAAUAAAUAAAAACCCCAAUAGAAAAGCGUCAAUCAUACGCAGCGCUCGAUUACCAAAGCCGUGUCCUCUGCAUAUUCUGUCCCUUUUCUGCCGCUGCUGCUCGUUUUCUCUUCCGCGUCGCUUCUUCGCCUUUUCUAGAUCUCCGGAUUCGCGCCUGAUAUGUCUUCCUCCAAGCCCGCCGGAUCCAUCCAUGACUUCACCGUCAAGGAUGCCAGGGGAAAUGAUGUGGAUCUUAGCAUUUACAAAGGGAAGGUCUUGCUGAUUGUCAAUGUUGCAUCUCAAUGUGGGCUGACUAACUCAAACUACAAGGAACUGACUCAGCUAUAUGAGAAUUACAAGGACAAAGAUUUUGAGAUUCUGGCUUUUCCAUGCAACCAAUUUGCUGGGCAAGAACCAAUGAGGAGAUUGUUGAGUUUGCUUGCACUCGAUUCAAAGCUGAAUAUCCGAUAUUUGACAAGGUCGAUGUGAAUGAUCAAAAUGCUGCACCCAUAUACAAGUUCUUGAAAUCGAGCAAAGGUGACAUUUUGGGGGAUGGCAUCAAGUGGAACUUCACUAAGUUCAUGAUGGACAAGGAUGGUCGUGUUGUAGGUCGCUAUGCCCCAACCACAUCCCCUUUGAGCAUCUGAGAAGGAUAUCAAGAAGCUUUUGAGGCCUUCGUAAAUUACAUAUGCUUGCAGCCUCUGAUCUUGCUUGCUGACUGCUGUAGUACAUAUGACUAUGGCUAAAGUGUCAAUUACUUCAAAGAUAAUAUGUUAAUCACAGAAAGCUUAGGCUAAUUAUAUAUCCGACCACGGGAGAUUUCAAAUAUGUAAUUAAGGAUUCUGGAGACAAGAGAAUGAAAAUUAUAAUUUAUAUA